Nitrospira moscoviensis is the source of this 249-nucleotide regulatory RNA element. The record is from Rfam. NCBI's taxonomy places the organism in Bacteria, Pseudomonadati, Nitrospirota, Nitrospiria, Nitrospirales, Nitrospiraceae.
UUGUAGAAGUCAGCCGUCGGUGACGGGGAAGAUGGUGCAAAUCCAUCACGGUGCCGCCACUGUAAGCGGGGAGUGAUCCUGCAAUUGCCACUGUCUGAAGGACAGUGACAGGUGACAAGUGACCAGUGACGAGAGGGGAAUGUGAACUCGUCACGCGUCACGCGCCACGCGUCACUGUCCCUGGAUGGGAAGGCGCAGGAAAACAGCGAUCCGCAAGUCAGGAGACCCAACCGACGGACGUGUCCGAGG